CCUACGGGGGGCUGCAGUGGGGAAUAUUGCGCAAUGGGGGAAACCCUGACGCAGCAACGCCGCGUGAGUGACGAAGGCCUUCGGGUCGUAAAGCUCUGUCGGAGGGAAAGAAACUACGAAUGGCUAAUAUCCAUUUGUAUUGACGGUACCCUCAAAGGAAGCACCGGCUAACUCCGUGCCAGCAGCCGCGGUAAUACGGAGGGUGCGAGCGUCGUACGGCAUUACUGGGCGUUCUGCGCGUGUAGGUGGUAAAGCCCUCGGCCUAACCGAGGAAGUGCGCCUGAAACUGCCAGACUUGAGUACGAGAGAGGAGGACGGAAUUCCCAGUGUAGAGGUGAAAUUCGUAGAUAUUGGGAGGAACACCGGUGGCGAAAGCGGUUCUCUGGAUCGAUACUGACACUAAGACGCGAAAGCGUGGGGAGCAAACAGGAUUAGAUACCCUUGUAGUC
Molecule: ribosomal RNA, 449 nt
Filed under: uncultured bacterium
Lineage: Bacteria
Description: partial 16S ribosomal RNA
Rfam family: Bacterial small subunit ribosomal RNA
Source: RNAcentral